Molecule: ribosomal RNA, 495 nt
Filed under: uncultured bacterium
Lineage: Bacteria
Description: partial 16S ribosomal RNA
Rfam family: Bacterial small subunit ribosomal RNA
Source: RNAcentral
GAAGAAAGAGGGAGGAGGGAAGAAUACAUGCAAGUUGAGCGCUGAAGGUUGGUACUUGUACCAACUGGAUGAGCAGCGAACGGGUGAGUAACGCGUGGGGAAUCUGCCUUUGAGCGGGGGACAACAUUUGGAAACGAAUGCUAAUACCGCAUAAAAACUUUAAACACAAGUUUUAAGUUUGAAAGAUGCAAUUGCAUCACUCAAAGAUGAUCCCGCGUUGUAUUAGCUAGUUGGUGAGGUAAAGGCUCACCAAGGCGAUGAUACAUAGCCGACCUGAGAGGGUGAUCGGCCACAUUGGGACUGAGACACGGCCCAAACUCCUACGGGAGGCAGCAGUAGGGAAUCUUCGGCAAUGGACGAAAGUCUGACCGAGCAACGCCGCGUGAGUGAAGAAGGUUUUCGGAUCGUAAAACUCUGUUGGUAGAGAAGAACGUUGGUGAGAGUGGAAAGCUCAUCAAGUGACGGUAACUACCCAGAAGGGGACGGCUAACUACG